RNAcentral lists this ribosomal RNA (429 nucleotides) under Pseudomonadota bacterium. RNAcentral's name for it is "Proteobacteria bacterium partial 16S ribosomal RNA". It matches the Rfam family "Bacterial small subunit ribosomal RNA", at positions 355 to 776 of the family's 1533-position model. Lineage: Bacteria; Pseudomonadati; Pseudomonadota. The record is from RNAcentral.
UGGGGAAUAUUGGACAAUGGGCGAAAGCCUGAUCCAGCCAUGCCGCGUGUGUGAAGAAGGUCUUCGGAUUGUAAAGCACUUUAAGUUGGGAGGAAGGGCAGUAAGCGAAUACCUUGCUGUUUUGACGUUACCGACAGAAUAAGCACCGGCUAACUCUGUGCCAGCAGCCGCGGUAAUACAGAGGGUGCAAGCGUUAAUCGGAAUUACUGGGCGUAAAGCGCGCGUAGGUGGUUCGUUAAGUUGAAUGUGAAAGCCCCGGGCUCAACCUGGGAACUGCAUCCAAAACUGGCGAGCUGGAGUAGGGCAGAGGGUGGUGGAAUUUCCUGUGUAGCGGUGACAUGCGUAGAUAUAGGAAGGCACACCAGUGGCGAAGGCGACCACCUGGGCUCAUACUGACACUGAGGUGCGAAAGCGUGGGGAGCAAACAGG